AGCUAAACAAGCCCUGGCCUGGAGAUAAGCAACACUGAAACAAUUGCCGACCAUCUACUGCCAGACACCAACUAACUGGCCUCUUGCAGACCAUCUACUGCCAGACACUAACUGGCCUCCUGUUCCACCAGCCAUAACUACACUUUUGAUCGGACAAGAGACUGAUUUCAGUAACUCUCCAGAGCCUAUGGCUAUUUGUGGAAUCUGCAGUUGCUUGCAGGCUGCAGAUCCUGUCUUUAUUAAGGGUGACCAGCAAAGGAACUGAGCUGGAAGAGACCAGCAGGGAGAGGUUGCAAUCUCCAAAAGAGCUACCCCAAGCAACCCAGGAAGCUGCUCACCACAGGACAGAAAGACAAGGGAGGUAUUCCCAAAGGGCUGCUGGGCAUGCCCAGCCACCCCACAAUGGGUGGGAGAGGGUGGGCCAGCAGGUGGAGGAUUCUCAGCACAGAAGGAAACCAGAAGACUUCAGGGAAGCUGGAGGAGGCCAUGGGAGAGGGGAGUGGUGACCUCAUAUAUGAGGGGAGUGGUGACCUCAUAUAUAUGAGGGGAGGGAAGCAUGCUCAGGUAGUGAGGACAGCCGUGGACUCUGGGCACGGGUCACCCUGGGUACCUUGAGCAAGUUACUUCACCUCUCUGAAACUCAGUUUCCUCAUCUGUAAAAUGGGCUGAUCAUCCCCCAUGGUGUCAUUGCAACCAUUAAAUGAGAUAAUGAAAAUGAUGAAAUGCUUUAUUUAUCUGCACUAUCUUAUGUAGUGUGUAUUAAAUAUCUAGCACAUAGUGAACACGGCAAAAGCACCUUAUUAUUAUUGCAAAAUUUUUUAAGUUGCUUCAAUUUGCUUACCCUUUCCACUUGGCUUUUCCUCUUUUAUCUCCCUCAUCAAUCAGCGCUGUGCUAUAACCCCAAACCUCCCUGCCCAAGGUGCCUGUAGAGUCUUCCAGCCCAGAACAACCUAGGGGAGGAUGAGGUGGAGGUGUGGAGUGUGUGUGUGUGGUGUGUGUGUUGGGUUUCCUGUGAGCCAUCAGAACUUGUAUAGAAGUCUGGGUGGGUAUGUGCAUGAUGCAUUUUCUCUGAGGAAACAGUCAUAGAUUCUCAAAGUAGUGACCAAAACAAAUAAAGGCUAGGAUCCACAGAAGUAAAAUGUUAGAUCUUAAUGCAAUAGUCCUUUCUCGGUCUGAAAAGAGGUCUUAGCGAGAGGGCAAUGUUUAACACCGAGAAAUGGCU
This 1222-nucleotide long non-coding RNA is filed under the name Homo sapiens (human). RNAcentral describes it as "HSALNT0105843". The record is from RNAcentral. Lineage: Eukaryota; Metazoa; Chordata; Mammalia; Primates; Hominidae.